UCCCUGUUGGUCUAGUGCUUGGGACUCAGUACUUUCACAGCUGUGGCCCAGGUUCAAUCCCUGGUCUGAGAA
Molecule: transfer RNA, 72 nt
Filed under: Sus scrofa (pig)
Lineage: Eukaryota; Metazoa; Chordata; Mammalia; Artiodactyla; Suidae
Rfam family: tRNA
About the family: Transfer RNA (tRNA) molecules are approximately 80 nucleotides in length. Their secondary structure includes four short double-helical elements and three loops (D, anti-codon, and T loops).
Source: Rfam by way of RNAcentral